Molecule: long non-coding RNA, 1159 nt
Filed under: Gallus gallus (chicken)
Lineage: Eukaryota; Metazoa; Chordata; Aves; Galliformes; Phasianidae
Description: lncRNA (ENSGALG00010007161.1)
Source: RNAcentral
CGGCAAACAGAGAAAGUUAUCUGUGGCUCCCAGCAGGUAGAUGUUGGUGACUGAACUUCUGUUAAGAGGAGUAUUUGAUGACCACGACCUUAUCCUUUUCUGCUGCUUCUCUGUUGCUGCCCAUGCACAUCCCCUGAUGCACAGCAUGUAUCCCUUCAUCUUGAUCAUCACUGGAAAAGGCGAGAGUGUACAAAGUUAAACAGCAAAAAUAUAGCUGACGCUUGUCUUCUUUCUCUCUCCACAAACACAGACACGAAUUCUCUCUAGUUUCUCCAGGGGGUGAUAACAGCAAGGCUCCUUCCCUCUGGAAACAUAUACAAUUUUGCUGGAGUAAUAAAAACACCAAAGAGGAGAACCAGCAGCAGACACAGGACUGGUUUGAUUUUAUUUUCUCACCUCUGUGGAGAGCGAAGCAGUAAAAUCUUUCAAGAGGCCUGCGUCUGGGUAUCCCGCUGCUGCCUUCAGCCCCAUCUCCUGAGCAGUAGGAGUGGUGGCUUCACAGCCUUUUCAAGUUAUUCAGAAUCAGUUUCCAGUGUGCAAAUGUUAUCUAGAAGCAUGAAGACAGCUCUGGGAAAAGAAACAGCUUUGCAUCAACAUGAGACACAGCUCAUAUUCUCUUUUACAUGAGGAUGUAACUAGCUCUGUUUUACCUGACGUGAAUGUAAAUUGAUUUUCCUCCUCGUUCCCAUGAUGAAUUAUCUUCCUCAAGCUGUGCUACUGAGUGGUCAGAAAACACAGAAAGAAUGUGUCAGGAGCUUGAAGAAGAAGCAAAACAAUGGCCAUGUGAACAGAACAUGUGGAAAAAUCAGAACACAAGAAGGAGAAAAGGAGCCAUGAUGUUAAAGCUCUGUGAUGAAGUGGGAAUUAAGCAGCAUGCCAUCCUGCCACCACUCCCUCACCAUUGACCGGUGUUUCGCAUGGACCAUGGGAGGCUCUUUGUUCUGGAGGCAGGAGAGCCCAUGGAACAAAUGGUCCUGGCUGUAUGCAAAUAAUGUCACUUUUGGGAGGCAGAACAUGUGGCAGAACUGCUAUGUAAGUUCAUGUCAUCUGGCCUGCGUUUACAGAUCUUACCAAGACAUGUUGCAGAUGAAAUUGACUUACUGCUGUCUUUUCUCUGUAACAGAGGGUCUGUGCUGCUGAAGUGUUCACAAAAGCUGAG